RNAcentral lists this transfer RNA (66 nucleotides) under Cantharidae sp. GENSP01. RNAcentral's name for it is "tRNA-Glu". Lineage: Eukaryota; Metazoa; Arthropoda; Insecta; Coleoptera; Cantharidae. The record is from RNAcentral.
GUUUAUAUAGUUUAAUAAAAAACUUUGCAUUUUCAUUGCAAAAUUAAAACUAGAUUUUUAUAAAUA